Molecule: ribosomal RNA, 450 nt
Filed under: uncultured bacterium
Lineage: Bacteria
Description: partial 16S ribosomal RNA
Rfam family: Bacterial small subunit ribosomal RNA
Source: RNAcentral
CCUACGGGUGGCUGCAGUGGGGAAUUUUGGACAAUGGGGGCAACCCUGAUCCAGCCAUUCCGCGUGAGUGAAGAAGGCCUUCGGGUUGUAAAGCUCUUUUGUCCGGAGCGAAACGGGCGGCCCUAAUACGGUCGUCUACUGACGGUACCGGAAGAAUAAGCACCGGCUAACUACGUGCCAGCAGCCGCGGUAAUACGUAGGGUGCGAGCGUUGAUCGGAAUUACUGGGGGUGGUGUUUGCACAGAGGGUUGAAAUCCCCGGGCUCAACCUGGGAAUGGCAUUUGGGACUGCAAGGCUGGAGUGUGGCAGAGGGGACUAGAAUUCCUGGUGUAGCAGUGAAAUGCGUAGAUAUCAGGAGGAAUACCGAUGGCGAAGGCAGGUCCCUGGGUUAACACUGACGCUCAUGCACGAAAGCGUGGGGAGCAAACAGGAUUAGAUACCCGUGUAGUC